GACGAACGCUGGCGGCGUGCUUAACACAUGCAAGUCGAACGAAGUGGCGAACGGGUGAGUAACGCGUAAUCAACCUGCCCUUCAGAGGGGGACAACAGUUGGAAAAGACUGCUAAUACAGCAUACUGAAGGAGGGGAUUUCGUCUGAUUAGCUAGUUGGAGGGGUAACGGCCCACAAAGGCGCUGAUUAGUAGCAGGUCUGAGAGGAUGAACGGCCACAUUGGGACUGAGAAACAGCCCAGACUCAUACGGGAGGCAGCAGUGGGGAAUCUGCCGAAAUGGACGAAAGUCUGACGGAGCAACGCCGCGUGCGUGAUGACGGCCUUCGGGUUGUCAAGCUCUGUUAAUCGGGACGCGGUACCGGAAUAGAAAGCCACGGCUAACUACGUGCCAGCAGCCGUGGUAAUAC
Molecule: ribosomal RNA, 408 nt
Filed under: uncultured bacterium
Lineage: Bacteria
Description: partial 16S ribosomal RNA
Rfam family: Bacterial small subunit ribosomal RNA
Source: RNAcentral